This 400-nucleotide ribosomal RNA is filed under the name uncultured bacterium. RNAcentral's name for it is "bacterial SSU rRNA". It matches the Rfam family "Bacterial small subunit ribosomal RNA", at positions 355 to 769 of the family's 1533-position model. The record is from RNAcentral.
UCGAGAAUAUUCCACAAUGGACGAAAGUCUGAUGGAGCGACGCCUCGUGCAGGAAGAAGGUCUUCGGAUUGUAAACUGCUUUUCUACGGGAUGAAAUCAAUGACAGUACUGUAGGAAUAAGGAGCUGCAAACUACGUGCCAGCAGCCGCGGUAAUACGUAGGCUCCGAGCGUUAUCCGGAUUUAUUGGGCGUAAAGGGUGUGUAGGAGGUUUUGUGCGUCUCGUGUUAAAUCUCACCGCUUAACGGUGGGGCUGCACGGGAUACGGCAAGACUAGAGGGUGCGAGAGGUUUACGGAACACAUGGUGUAGGGGUGACAUCCGUUGAUAUCAUGUGGAACACCAAAGGCGAAGGCAGUAAACUGGCGCAUUCCUGACUCUGAAACACGAAAGCGUGGGGAGC